GAUGAACGCUAGCGGCAGGCUUAACACAUGCAAGUCGAGGGGUACAGUCCCGCUUUCGGCGGAGCUGACGACCGGCGCACGGUGCGUAACGCCUAUAGAACUACCUUUACUGAGGGAUAGCCUUUAGAAAUGAAGAUUAAUACCUCAUAGUAUUUUAGAUUGGCAUCGAUUUAAAUUAAAGAUUUAUUGGUAAAAGAUGGCUAUGCGUCUUAUUAGCUAGAUGGUAAGGUAACGGCUUACCAUGGCAACGAUAAGUAGGGGCCCUGAGAGGGGGAUCCCCCCACACUGGUACUGAGACACGGACCAGACUCCUACGGGAGGCAGCAGUGAGGAAUAUUGGUCAAUGGAGGCAACUCUGAACCAGCCAUGCCGCGUGCAGGAAGACGGCCCUAUGGGUUGUAAACUGCUUUUAUACAGGAAGAAACAGUCCCUCGUGAGGGGCCUUGACGGUACUGUAAGAAUAAGCACCGGCUAACUCCGUG
Molecule: ribosomal RNA, 482 nt
Filed under: uncultured bacterium
Lineage: Bacteria
Description: bacterial SSU rRNA
Rfam family: Bacterial small subunit ribosomal RNA
Source: RNAcentral